This is a non-coding RNA of Paramuricea clavata, 326 nucleotides long. The record is from the annotation of a GenBank genome assembly. NCBI's taxonomy places the organism in Eukaryota, Metazoa, Cnidaria, Anthozoa, Malacalcyonacea, Plexauridae.
UUCCUACUGUCAAUAGAAAGGAUGAGAGAGGACAGUACAACUCUCACUUUUAAAAUGCUGCCUUGAAGACUGACUGAAACGAUGUGAUGUUUCUUGAAGACCAUUAUUGAUCAAACCGUAAUGAUUUGAAUCUCGAUUUGAAUAAUACACCACGCAAUACAAUAUUCUAUUGAUACUGAAAAUUUCAAUGAAGCAAAGCCUGACGUGCAAGACAACAAGGAGACACUCGAUCACUGAAUGGCAAACGAACGAACACCGCUGUUACACCACCGUUUGGAGGGAAACCGAACUGUUGAAGUGCGGGGUAAUCAACCUUCAACUUCAAG